Triticum aestivum (bread wheat) is the source of this 3149-nucleotide long non-coding RNA. RefSeq lists it as uncharacterized. Lineage: Eukaryota; Viridiplantae; Streptophyta; Magnoliopsida; Poales; Poaceae. The record is from RefSeq and is a predicted model, not a curated record. The transcript is spliced from 3 exons.
GGAUCCCGCCGCCGCCCCGCCCCCACCUCCUCCCCGUCUCCGGCGCCGCCCCUCCCCCACCUACUCCUGGAUCCCGGCGCUGCCCCGCCCCGCCCCCACCUCCUCUCUCGCUCCCGGCGCCCCGCUGCUUCCACGCGCCACCGCCGGCCCCCUGCUUCCACGCGCCGCCGGCGGCCCCGCUGCUUCUAGCCGCCACUGUCGGGAGCCACCAUAGCGCCACCAAUCGCCACGACCAGUCGUCCCUACCGCCGCCUUGGCGACCUACCCCCACCCCCCGCAGGGGGCCAUCGCUUCGUGUCACCGCAUCCGGUGGCCACAGCGUGCCGUCCAACUCGGCAGUCCAACUGCUUGCUCCACGGUCGGUCGCUCAAGUAGCUGCGUGCAGGCAAACAUCUCCACGGGCGACAAGUUCUUCUUUCACAACUUGUUGCUGCUGCUGCACCUUCUCCUUCGACCAGGCUAAGUAAAAUGUUCAGAAUUUCAUCUAAUCUAGUUCGAAUUUCAUCUAACAUCCGGCGACGCACCGCGCCCUCGCCUCCCACCUCCGCGACGGACCAUGGAUCUGCCUCCACAGGGGAGGCCACCGGUGGGAAGGCGUAGCAUAGGCAACAACCACCUCCGCCCCUUCCUGCUCCUCCCCGCCGCGCCACGACCACCUCUGUCGCCUCGGGAUCCCAGCUGCAUGCAUUCAGGAGCAAGAGAAAAGAGAGGUUAAUUGUCCGUCCACACUGCCGCUCCUCCCAAGUCCACACUAGUUUUAUCACAAAAAGGAGAGGAUGUCUAUUUUAUCUCCUGAAACACAAACUAGGUGUUCUCAGUUCAGUACGUGAGCUAUCUCAAGUUCUUGGAAAACAUAUAAAACAGUACGGUGUUUGUGCAAAAAAUUCAGACUGUUUUCUAAUUAUACAACAGUUUACUAUAUGGUAGAAUUGUAGUUGUUCAGUAAAAAGGUUCACUACCCCCACUGGGGAAUUUUCUAUCCGUUUUGUCUUCUUUUCCAACUGAAAGUAGUAGCAAAAUGUGAACUGAAGCUGUUGUGGAGCAAAUUAAGAAUAGUUGCCUACUUUUUUGCCACUGCUACCUUGCCACCUACAUUAAUGCUACUACUACUACUACUAAUUAUCAUGUUGCUAAACCUUGUGUUCUGGACAAUUUGUGGGAAAGUGUGGAGGCGCAAGUUGCUCCGCGACUGAGGAAGGUGCACCCCGGUGCUUGCCAUGGCUGAAGACGGCCUCCAACCGCGGGGCCCAAAGCAGCCAGCCUUUGUUCACAUGCGUGUCUCCUUCCUGCUUCACCUAGCAGUCCUACUUCUCCAUGACGACAAGGAUGACGUCGCCAUGCGUGCACGCUCCAAACUGUCCCCUGUCGCAGCCCCACCACUCGUUGCUGAUGCACUCCAACCCGAGGACCUCCACGAUGGAGGUCGCCUCGUAGCCUAGCGACGAGGUAACUCAUCUUCCUUGUGCGUCCUUCGCCCACUGUGCGCCCUGCUGCCCUCGACCUCCUUCCUCACAGGCAUGCUACCCCAACUUUUGUUUUGAUUUUCAGUUCAACUUGUGUGUUCUUUUCAGUGCAUUAUGCUUUAAAUGUGCAGAGUCCUGAGGCAAAAUGAUACAUUUUAGUUUGCUUUGCCGCAAGGGCAUUGCUGAAACUUAACUUCUGUCUAAACCUAUAACCAUCCAUUUCGAAAAUAGAUGCUUUCAAAAUAGAUGCUAGUUUACUUUGCAUAGAGCUUGCAGCUUAUGUUUGUGUACUUUGAACUUAAGCUGGUCUCCCUCUUGUACAUCAAUUUUUCAGUAUUGGUCUAGUCAGUAUGGUGAAGAUGAAGCUCCUUUUUGAACUUCUCCAGUUAAUAUACAUGCACUUGGUCAUCUUUUUUACAUGUACUAACAUCAUCUCAUUCGGAGUUGUUCGUGUGCUUGUAACACAAAUCAGUUCAAAUCUCAAGAGAAGUAAGCUCAAAUAAGAAAAAUACAGAAGUUUGAAGCCGAGAUGUUUGCAUAUGUUUUGUUGAAUUGAGUUCCUUCCUAAAAAAUAGCACUAAAUAUGUUUGCAUAUGUUUGCACAUCUUUUCAGUACAAACUUUAAAAAAAGUUUCUUUCUGAACUUCUCAAAAUUAAUAUACAUGAACUUGAUUAUCUUUUUAACAUGUAUUGAUAUCAGCUUCGUUGGAUUUUUGUGCGUGUGCUUGUAACACAAUCAGUUCAAAUCUCGAGAGACCAUACGUUCAAGUUCACUAGUAUUUAUAAAUGUUGGUUGCAGUACUAGUAUUUACAAAUUUCUUAUAAUCUCCACAGGUCGGAGGCCGUACAUAUUUCUUAUUCCUAUUGCUAUAAGAUCAAGUGAUCAAAUGCUAUGAGCUCGCGUGUUAUUCUCCAAUUAGUUCAAGUGAUCAUUGUUUUAUUUUAUUGUGUAUAUGUCUAAGAGUAGACUUUGUGACCUAAACUUUCUACUUACUGCUUAGAGAAGGUCCCUUUUGUGGCAUGAACUUCCUUCUUAUUGCUUAGAGAAGGUCCCUUGGAAAAGAUGACUACCUUUCCAAGUUGGAUUAUCCUCAAACAGUUUAUAUUUUGAUGUGGAAUAGGAAAAUAGGUUUGCUUUGGAGUGUGUUUUACAAUUAGAACCUUUCAGACUUCGUAUUCUUUGAGUAUGCAAAAAAAAAAACAGAGGAGAAAAGCUGGCUACCUGUGUAUAGUUUUUAUAAUUUCCAUGGGAAACUAAUAUUCAUGCACCUCUUUGGUGGAUGUUUUGAUAUAUUUCCUUCACGAAUUGUAGUUGUCAAAUGGUGUUACACAAUUACUAUUCUAGCAUCAUUGUUUAUAUUGUAUUCUUUUAGCAUUCUUGCAACCCUAUUAACAACAUCUUUUUGUGCAGUGUUUGUCAGGUUUUUUUUAUUUAUGGACAUCUUGGGCUUGCUGGGUGCAGAAUCAAAGAAGGCCAGUGAGAGGUACUAGUAGAAGAGGAAGAAGUAAUGUGAAAAAUGAGAUAAAUGUGAGAAGACCAAGUACAAAAGCGUGAGAGGGAUUCCGAUUUUUUUUUUCAGAUUCUUGCUGUACACAUACCAAAGUUUUUAUGCACUAUGCAUCUGUAUGAAUGGUUAAUACCUCAAUGGUGCACUAUGCAUCUUUGGCAGUUUUUAUGCAUUUUUA